Molecule: ribosomal RNA, 279 nt
Filed under: uncultured bacterium
Lineage: Bacteria
Description: partial 16S ribosomal RNA
Rfam family: Bacterial small subunit ribosomal RNA
Source: RNAcentral
UGCCAGCCGCCGCGGUAAUACGGAGGGUGCGAGCGUUAAUCGGAAUUACUGGGCGUAAAGCGCACGCAGGCGGUUUGUUAAGCUAGUUGUGAAAUACCUGGGCUCAACCGAGGGAUUGCAAUUAAAACUGGACAUCUAGAGUGCGGUAGAGGGAAGUGGAAUUUCUAGUGUAGCGGUGAAAUGCGUAGAUAUUAGAAAGAACACCAGUGGCGAAGGCGGCUUCCUGGACUGACACUGACGCUGAGGCACGAAAGCAUGGGUAGCGAACAGGAUUAGAUA